UUUACUGGGCGUAAAGUGUGCGUAGGUUGUUCUGUAUGUCGGGUGUGAAAUCUUGCCGCUCAACGGCAAAACUGCAUUCGAAACUGCAGGGCUAGAGUGCGGGAGAGGAGAGCGGAAUUCUUGGUGUAGCGGUGGAAUGCGUUGAUAUCAAGAAGAACACCGGUGGCGAAGGCGGCUCUCUAGAACGCAACUGACACUGAGGCACGAAAGCUGGGGGAGCGAACAGGAUUAGAUACCCUGGUAGUCCCAGCUGUAAACGGUGUGCACUUGGUGUGGGGAGAUUUGACCCUUCCUGUGCCGUAGCUAACGCGAUAAGUGCACCGCCUGGGGAGUACGGCCGCAAGGCUAAAACUCAAAGAAAUUGACGGGGGCCCGCACAAGCGGUGGAGCAUGUGGUUUAAUUCGAUGCAACGCGAAAAACCUUACCUGGGUUUGACAUCCUUUGACAGUCCCUGAAAGGGGAUCUUACCGAUUCUUCGGAACAAAGUGACAGGUGCUGCAUGGCUGUCGUCAGCUCGUGUCGUGAGAUGUUGGGUUAAGUCCCGCAACGAGCGCAACCCUUGUCUUUAGUUGCCACUAUUAAGUUAGGCACUCUAAAGAUACUGCCCCGGUUAACGGGGAGGAAGGUGGGGAUGACGUCAAGUCCUCAUGGCCUUUAUACCCAGGGCUACACACGUGCUACAAUGGGCUGUACAAAGGGUCGCGACUCUGCGAGGAGAAGCUAAUCCCAAAAAGUAGUCCUAAGUUCGGAUUGGAGUCUGCAACUCGACUCCAUGAAGCUGGAAUCGCUAGUAAUCGUGGAUCAGCAUGCCACGGUGAAUACGUUCCCGGGCCUUGUACACACCGCCCGUCACACCACGAAAGUUGGUUGUACCAGAAGUUACUGGGCUAACCCCUGAGCUUGUCGAAGGGGAGGCAGGCACCUAAGGUAUGGCUGGUGAUUGGGGUGAAGUCGUAACAAGGUAACC
This 968-nucleotide ribosomal RNA is filed under the name uncultured bacterium. RNAcentral's name for it is "bacterial SSU rRNA". It matches the Rfam family "Bacterial small subunit ribosomal RNA", at positions 550 to 1501 of the family's 1533-position model. The record is from RNAcentral.